This 261-nucleotide long non-coding RNA is filed under the name Ananas comosus (pineapple). RNAcentral's name for it is "long non-coding RNA (ACOM_LNC043683)". The record is from RNAcentral. Lineage: Eukaryota; Viridiplantae; Streptophyta; Magnoliopsida; Poales; Bromeliaceae.
UUCCCUAUCAGGUAGCAUACCAGGCAAUUCAGCUGGAAACACAUCCCCGAAUUCCCGCACAACCGGAAUAUCAUCAAUCUUGACUGCUUCUCCGUCAUUCACAGAAAUACUAGCCAAAUAGGCUACACAACCUCUCUGUAUCAACUGUUGCGCUCGCGAAGAGCUAAUUGUCAUUGCGAACAAUGAACUCUGACACCUCUUAUAAAUAAACUCCUGCUGACCCGGUUUCCUAAAGAUCACUGUUCUAUUUGUGCAGUCAAU